AAAAACAUCGCCUCCUGAAAGAUUAUAGGAGGUCCAGCCUGCCCAGUGAUAAAAUUAAACGGCCGCGGUACCCUAACCGUGCGAAGGUAGCGCAAUCACUUGUUCUUUAAAUGAGGACUAGUAUGAACGGCAUCACGAGGAUUAUACUGUCUCCCUUCUUUAAUCAGUGAAACUGAUCCCCCCGUGAAGAAGCGGGAAUAAACAUAUAAGACGAGAAGACCCUAUGGAGCUUUAAACUUAACACCACUUAUCUAAAACACUUCAUAACAAACAGAUAAGCUUGUGCGCGUUUUAGGUUGGGGUGACCGCGGAGUAAAAUUUAACCUCCACGUUGAAAGGCCUUUAUCCUUAUCCAAGAGCCACAUCUCCAAGAAUCAACAAAUUGACAUUUAUUGACCCAAAUUUUUUUGAUCAACGAACCAAGUUACCCUAGGGAUAACAGCGCAAUCCAUUUCAAGAGCUCAUAUCGACAAAUGGGUUUACGACCUCGAUGUUGGAUCAGGGUAUCCCAGUGGUGCAGCCGCUACUAAAGGUUCGUUUGUUCAACGAUUAAAACCCUACGUGAUCUGAG
RNAcentral lists this ribosomal RNA (571 nucleotides) under Chiasmocleis shudikarensis (Guyana humming frog). Its description in RNAcentral is "partial 16S ribosomal RNA". It matches the Rfam family "Bacterial large subunit ribosomal RNA", at positions 1809 to 2609 of the family's 2925-position model. The record is from RNAcentral. Lineage: Eukaryota; Metazoa; Chordata; Amphibia; Anura; Microhylidae.